UCUUUGGUAAGAGACGAGGGACAAAGUUGGUAUUUUUACCUUUUAUGCUUAUUUUUAUCCUUUCUUGUCUACAUGUUUAGUGUAAAGUGGCCUUUCUUUUCCUACAGAGACCAGGACUCAAUAACAAGAAAUGCUUCUAUGAUGCUGCAAGCCCACAAGAACAUUUCCCAGCAUCUAAAAACACUCCAGAGGAGGACACGGUGAGGCUCUGCAAUGCCACUGAUACUUCUCCUGGAGGUCCAAAUAUCCAGUGGAGCUCCAGGUCCGGUGCUGAAAGUUAAACAUCUUGGAUCAGACACAGCAUGAGAGAGACCUUUCAGCACCAUCAGAAACUUGAUAAUGAACCAGGCAUAAGUGUCGAUAUCCUUUUAAACUUAAACCCAAGAAUCCGGAAUUCAAAAGGAUCGGCAAGUUCAGAGCAAACAUUCCGAAAAGCAUUUCCUCAAAUAGGAAUUUAAUAUCUUCUUUCAGAAAGGUGGAUCAUAACUUCACUCUCCCGUUUGAUGAUGAAACAUCCUCCAGGCUGCUUCAGAAUUGGGACGUGUUCUUCAAGUCAAAUGUCAUAAAAGAGGCUUCGUGGCUCACUUCAGCACCAGAGUCAUGUCGCUUGGUGUAGUCAACAGAAAGUCCCACAGGAGCGGGUCCAGAUGAAGCAAUAAUAUUCUCACAGUUUUCUUACUUCGCUGGAGUCAUGCUGCAGUUUGGAGCAGGGCUGGCAGCCAUACCUCUUCCUCUGUCGAGCCUCAGAGAAGCCAGAUCAUCGACGUCUACGUGUAUGUGUUUAAGCAUCCCAGCUCAUUCACUUUGAACAGCUGAUGAAUACUUAGAAAAAAAAAAUCUGUCUCACGAUGUCACAUUGAAGUAGAACAAUGAUGUAGAUAAAAAUGAGUGUGCAGCUAUUUAAACCUGGAAAAAGUGCUAAAAUCUACUCUCUGAAAGUUGAUUUCAACUCUCAAGUUUUUGCUUGAUAUAGAUGAGAACCUUUUUAAGAUUUACCUGAGUGCCAGUUUGGUUGUGUCAACCUGUAAUUCACAGAAAGACAGAUUUUGUGUAUUAUUGUAACGCACAUAGGACACAUGCUAUCUGAUCUGAUUUCAUUGUAGUUUGAGUAUACUUUUUAUCAAGGUUUAAGUCACCAAAACUAGAUUCCUACCUAAGGUUUUGCAGUAUUAUAACCAACUCACAUGUCCGAAACUGCUCUAGGUUUCAGAUUUUAAUCACUUUAAUUCUCAGCACAGAUUAUAACCAGGCCACCACGCUGAUCUCUAUGCAGUGCAUCAAGCAAAGCAACAAUCAACAAACCAUUUAACUUGUGUCAUUCCCUGUCACCAUUUAAGAAGAAAGCUUGAUCAUUCCUGAUUAAGAGAAGAGGAUUAGACAAGUUAAAGACUUUGUAAUGCUCAGACAGCUCUAACAUUUGCUUCUUCUACUUUUACUAACUUCUACUAACCAAAAAAAAGAUGUCAGUCAUUUGUUUUGAGAAUCACUAGUCAAGCUUGGUGUUUCACUUUUUUCAUCACUUUAAGGCUCAUUGUGUCAACCUACGAUUAAAGU
This is a long non-coding RNA of Oreochromis niloticus (Nile tilapia), 1554 nucleotides long. RefSeq lists it as uncharacterized. Lineage: Eukaryota; Metazoa; Chordata; Actinopteri; Cichliformes; Cichlidae. The transcript is spliced from 3 exons. The record is from RefSeq and is a predicted model, not a curated record.